AGUGAACGCUGGCGGUAGGCCUAACACAUGCAAGUCGAACGGCAGCACAGUAAGAGCUUGCUCUUACGGGUGGCGAGUGGCGGACGGGUGAGGAAUACAUCGGAAUCUACUUUUUCGUGGGGGAUAACGUAGGGAAACUUCCGCUAAUACCGCAUACGACCUACGGGUGAAAGCAGGGGAUCUUCGGACCUUGCGCGAUUGAAUGAGCCGAUGUCGGAUUAGCUAGUUGGCGGGGUAAAGGCCCACCAAGGCGACGAUCCGUAGCUGGUCUGAGAGGAUGAUCAGCCACACUGGAACUGAGACACGGUCCAGACUCCUACGGGAGGCAGCAGUGGGGAAUAUUGGACAAUGGGCGCAAGCCUGAUCCAGACAUACCGCGUGGGUGAAGAAGGCCUUCGGGUUGUAAAGCCCUUUUGUUGGGAAAGAAAAGCAGCAGGUUAAUACCCCGCUGUUCUGACGGUACCCAAAGAAUAAGCACCGGCAAAUUUCGU
Molecule: ribosomal RNA, 491 nt
Filed under: uncultured bacterium
Lineage: Bacteria
Description: partial 16S ribosomal RNA
Rfam family: Bacterial small subunit ribosomal RNA
Source: RNAcentral